Misgurnus anguillicaudatus (oriental weatherfish) is the source of this 1471-nucleotide non-coding RNA. The record is from RefSeq and is a predicted model, not a curated record. NCBI's taxonomy places the organism in Eukaryota, Metazoa, Chordata, Actinopteri, Cypriniformes, Cobitidae.
ACAACCAGUUUUUUGUUCUAUUUACGAUUUUUAAUUUUGAAGUGGCAUUUAUUGUGAUGUUAAAAUAAAGUGGUGUACAAAUAAGAUCGUGUCACAUGAUAUCACACAAAUAACUAGUACCGCGCGCGCGUGCGUGCGGUUUCCCUUACGAAAAUUAACCAUGGUUUUACUACAGUUAAAACCAAAAAACAUGGUUACUGUAGUAAAACCAUGGUAACCACAAAAUAACCUUGGUUUUGAUAACCAUGGUUUUCAAAAAACAUAGUUAAACCAUGGUUAGUGUAGUAAAACCAUGGAUUUGUCAUAGUAAUCAAAUCACCAAAAAAACAUGGUUACUACACUUUUACCACAAUAAAAUCGUGGUUAAUUUUCGUAAGGGUUGGUGUGAUUAUGGUUAAAACAAGGCAAAACUGAACCAAAAGAAGAAAUAUAGCAUUUAAGAGUUAAUAGUAACAACAUACAAAGUAAUAUUCUAGGACUUUUUUCUAAGAAUACAUUUUUAAAUGUAAACUAUUUUGAUAUGUUAUUGAUAAGUAUACUUUUUUAUUGAACAGGAAACCAUUUCAGUAUUCACUGAGCUUUCUGACAACAGGGACCUUUGAUUUCACAUGCAAUAGAAACCCCCAUAUUAUUAAAAGUAAACUAACUCAGUAUUAUUUUUUAACUUAGCCUGUCAUGCCUUGCAUUAGUGUCUGGUGCUUUUGGAGAAUUCAUCCUUUGAGGUUUGUUUGUUUUCUUUUUUUUUAAUACAUACUGUUCAUUGAAGCUUCAAUUACCAAAUGCUUAAUUUUAGCAUUUUAAAAAAAUGUUUUUAACUAUAAUUAUAAAUUCAUUACAUGUAUUAAUCUAAACAAGUGGAUUUCAAUUAUGGUCCUAAGGGAUGUCAUUAAGAACAAACUGUCUUUAUGAGACUUUAUAUUUUAAACUUUUGAAGGUCAGAGAUGCUGAAAGUGCAACUCCAGUAAAAGAGGAGAGUAGAGAGCAGAGGUGAUGAAAUCCCCCUGCAUGUUGAUUAUUUGACCAAGAUGCCGAUUGACAUCCUCUGGUGGAUCCUGAUGGAAGUCGUUACAGAGACGGCGUUGUGGCUUUCUGGAGACUUUCACUGAUGUGCAAGGUCUUCAUGGACGUUGUCAGCAAACCCAAAUUCACUGUAUGGCUGGACAGUGUUGUGAGUUGGAGUGCAUUUUCCAGACAAUAUAGGCAAGAGCUCCGGGUGCCCUACUCGUUGACUUUGAAAUAUACAAGGACUGCCCACCUGGGUAUCUAGGUGAUGGCAGAAGGGGACUCCUGAAUGGGUUUUAUUCCGACAAGGAGGUUCAGGGCUAUUGCUCGGUUGAUUGUUUUUUCAAUGAUGGAGGGGAACUUCUGUGUAGAUUGUGUGUACGGUUAAUGUACCGUACAUGAUUAUCUGUGUGUGUAUUAUGUCUUUUUAACAAUUAUUUUUGUUUUGAAAUAAAAGUUAUCACUGGUA